RNAcentral lists this ribosomal RNA (288 nucleotides) under Silpha carinata. RNAcentral describes it as "partial 16S ribosomal RNA". The record is from RNAcentral. Lineage: Eukaryota; Metazoa; Arthropoda; Insecta; Coleoptera; Silphidae.
UCUGGUAUGAAAGGUUUGACGAGGAAAAAGCUGUUUCUAUUUUAAUUUUAUAGAAUUUUAUUUUUAAGUCAAAAAGCUUAAAUUAAUUUAAAAGACGAGAAGACCCUAUAGAGUUUUAUAAAAUAAAUGAUUUAAAAUUAUUUGAAUUAUAUAUUAUAAAUUAUUUAUUUUAUUUUAUUGGGGUGAUCGAAAAAUUUAAAAAACUUUUUUUUUAUAAUAACAUUUAUUUAUGAAUUAUUGAUCCAUAUUAAUGAUUAUAAGAUUAAAUUACCUUAGGGAUAACAGCGA